Non-coding RNA from Lachancea thermotolerans CBS 6340, 90 nucleotides. Lineage: Eukaryota; Fungi; Ascomycota; Saccharomycetes; Saccharomycetales; Saccharomycetaceae. The record is from Rfam.
UCAUGAUGAUUUCCUUAGAUGACGAGUCUGAUACGGGGUUUUUCUCGCUGAAGACACAACUAUUAUUAUACCAUUCAUGCAUUUCUGACG